This 1008-nucleotide long non-coding RNA is filed under the name Homo sapiens (human). RNAcentral's name for it is "HSALNT0099324". The record is from RNAcentral. Lineage: Eukaryota; Metazoa; Chordata; Mammalia; Primates; Hominidae.
CAGAAAGGUGAGCCACGUGGAGAUCACCUGUGGCUGAUGUGGUUCACGGGCUCCUGCCAGGGGCAGUCACUGGUUUUGUCUGCUGUAGAUCUAUCAUCUGUUAGGCACCUUAUACAUUUUUUUUGAGACAGAGCAGUAAAGGAAUGUGCCCCAGAUCAUUAAAGUCCUGUGUGUGGGCUGUCUGCGUGGGGGAGGCACUGCCACAGAGGACACGUUGGACGUGACCGGUUCAUAUGAAAAUCCCCUUGGAAAAUGCAUGUGGCACCAGAUUGCUGGAGUUUUCUCAGUCUAAACAGUUCCUGAUGAUCUCCCUCCCUCUUGCUUGCUCUUUAUAUAUAUCUAUAUUUUUUUAAACUGAAACUAAACUGUUAUCUACAAAGGAACUCAUCAGCGUGCACGCACACACAGCAUUCCAUCCAAUCCCUGCCCUCGCCCACCCACUGUCCAAAUAAAAACACUUCAAAUGUUUUGGAUCCAGUUUCUUAUUUCCUGUGAGCAGUUGCCGGCAUUACUUUACGUGGAGAGGUUUGGUUGUAAGAUGAGCAGAUGCCCAUGAGCUCUAUCCCUCGUAGUAAGUUAGGCCAGCAGGCUGUGAGACUUUGGAGACUGAUGCCAAUUUUCUUCUUAGAGCAUAAUCCUGUAAUGCUCAACAGAAAGUUUUUGCUCUUUUGAAUUAAAGCCUUACUACUUUGCCUGAUUUGUGUUUGAGGUUUUAUAUUUUUUUCCUUUAGUAGAGACAAUUUAAUCUCAAAAUGCCAAGUCCUCUUAAACUUCCCUACUCUGUUGUGGAGUGUGUUUCAUCUUAAAAACAUCCCAGAGAAACUUGGAAGAGGUCCUUGGGUUAGCGAAUGCCCUCCUCGCCAUCAUAGAGACUGCUGAGCACAAGACGAAAAACGCACGUCUGUCAGACUGUUUUACCAUCAAAUAAUGAAGACGUUUGCAUGCCAUUUUAGAUUUUGCAGCUCCCUACUGCUUAUCUUCCGGAGGCCCGUGGCGUCCAGUGUUGGU